RNAcentral lists this ribosomal RNA (481 nucleotides) under uncultured bacterium. RNAcentral's name for it is "partial 16S ribosomal RNA". It matches the Rfam family "Bacterial small subunit ribosomal RNA", at positions 28 to 507 of the family's 1533-position model. The record is from RNAcentral.
GAUGAACGCUGGCGGCGUGCUUAACACAUGCAAGUCGAACGAAGCACUUUAUUUGAUUUCCUUCGGGACUGAUUAUUUUGUGACUGAGUGGCGGACGGGUGAGUAACGCGUGGGUAACCUGCCUUGUACAGGGGGAUAACAGUUGGAAACGGCUGCUAAUACCGCAUAAGCGCACAGCAUCGCAUGAUGCAGUGUGAAAAACUCCGGUGGUAUAAGAUGGACCCGCGUUGGAUUAGCUAGUUGGUGAGGUAACGGCCCACCAAGGCGACGAUCCAUAGCCGACCCGAGAGGGUGACCGGCCACAUUGGGAAUGAGACACGGCCCAAACUCCUACGGGAGGCAGAAGUGGGGAAUAUUGCACAAUGGGCGAAAGCCUGAUGCAGCGACGCCGCGUGAGCGAAGAAGUAUUUCGGUAUGUAAAGCUCUAUCAGCAGGGAAGAUAAUGACGGCACCUGACGAAGAAGCACCGGCUAAAUACGUG